UUUAUCAACUAAUGAUUUUAUCAUUUUCAGAUUGUGAAAGUCAUCUUAAAAAUCAAAAUGAACAAAAUCAUCCUCUGCAUUGUCCUCCCCUGUAUCUUGGCCAUGGUAGUCUCAGCGGCCUACUACCCCGGAGCCCAGUAUGGACAGUAUGGAUACGGACAAAGAAACGUUGCACAGUACGCCAGUUACGCAGCAAACAGCCAACAAGCCCUUAAACAGGCCAGACUUUUCAACUACUUGUUAGGAGGACUCUUCUUCUUGAACCUAUUCAACUUCACUGGAAACAACAUUGCCGGUUAAAAAGCAUUCAGUUUUCUGUGUAAAACAGUCAAUUUUGAUCAAGUCCGAAGAUUUCUAAUAUUGAAUGGUGCUGCUACAACUCACCGAGACGAACAACUAAAUAUUCUGACAAUUGUACCAAGUGUUCAUUUGUAUUUCAAUAAAACAUAUAAUUUGUCAA
This is a long non-coding RNA of Mytilus trossulus (common blue mussel), 460 nucleotides long. RefSeq lists it as uncharacterized. The record is from RefSeq and is a predicted model, not a curated record. NCBI's taxonomy places the organism in Eukaryota, Metazoa, Mollusca, Bivalvia, Mytilida, Mytilidae. The transcript has 3 exons.